Ictalurus punctatus (channel catfish) is the source of this 1585-nucleotide long non-coding RNA. The record is from Ensembl. NCBI's taxonomy places the organism in Eukaryota, Metazoa, Chordata, Actinopteri, Siluriformes, Ictaluridae.
UAUAAAUCCUGUGCGCGACAUUCCCCAUUCUUUUCUGUUCUUCAUGGCGAUGUUGCAUGACACUCCUCUCCACAGGCGCGCUGCUGUGACUGUUCAAGGCUUGUUCUUCCUUAAAAGUGCCAUGGUGAGAUGCUUUAGAUGGUGCUUUUGUCCACCCCUUCUCCAGGCUGAAUCCUGUGGAUCACCAGAUCACUCUGUGCGAGUGCACUGCUGAUAUGUCGAGUUCCGUAGACACAUGGUCGUGACCUGCUGAAUUGAGUGCAGGCAGAAGGCAUUCCUGGUCUUAAGAGCUGUGGUUCAGCAUGGUGCUGUGCAGUAGGUGCAAGAGGAAUGAGGUUAAUGUUGGGGAAGGCUGUUCAUUUUGUGCAAGAUCAAGGAAGACCGACUUGAUGUUUUCCAUGUUUGCAUGUUAAAGACCUGACCCGUUGAAUAAAGUGGAAUUUCAGUGUUAAUGAAUGUCUGUUCAUUUGAAAUUAUUUUGUAGCCUGUGUUCUAUUCAGUUAAUUUUUUCGGAGCAGUGUUUCGCAUUCCUGCUUCUGCAGUAUCCCUGCCCUGUACAUUUGGAGUGGGGGUGGAGUCUGUAAGGGCAAUAUGAGGAAUAUCAGUUUUCAAAUACACUUCUACAAUAUGCCUCAUGAUGUAUAGGGUUGCUCAGAAACUGCUGCCAAAUGCAGUGGUGUUACUCUUUAAUAUAAAUUUGAAUAAAUAUUUUUAUUUGGGAGAAACUAACACAACUUUAAGAGUUUAGAGUACAUUUAAAAAUUGUAAGUGACCCUUAGCUUGUAUCUGUAAACAUCUGUUUAUUUUGAGCAGGUGUGGUGGUCUCUAAUUUUUAUACAUGUAAUGUAAAAAUUUGUGUUAAAAUAAAGCUUAUAACCUAAAUCCUUAUUUCCUGACUGAAAUUGACAGUAAAUGUGUUUUACAUAUUUGGAGAAUUAAAAGCGGUCACUUUAUAGAAUUGAACAGUGCAUAUUGCACACAUUUUAGGCUUGUAUGUUAAAAUAACCUGUUGCUAUAUAACAUGCAUUAUUGCAUCUCAAAAUAAAGGUUGGUUCCUCCAGGUUUGUGCUUAUGGAUUUCACCUGGCAUUGACACUGGCAUUAAUAAGAUCAAGUCAUUUAGGAUGUAUAUGCUUAAAAAAAAAAAUAAAAAUUUUAGUCUCCUGAAAGUAAUGGCACUGCAAAGCAAAUUCUUCUGGUUUGUGCUUUCAUAUCCAUACAUGUUCUAUACCACUUAUCCUUCAGUGUCACGGGGAACCUGAAGACUAUCCCAGGGGGCAUUGGGCACAAGGUGGGGUACACGUUGGAUGGUGUAUUAUGUUUAAUAAAAUAAACUAUUAAAUCGCAUGUAAAUUAGAUAUGAAUUUCACUACAGAAUGGGCCCAUACCCAAAAUAUACCAUUAUUUAAAGCUUAAUAGUAUUUGAAGGGAAUGAUGUACAGUCAUGAAGCCAACUGUAAAGUGUUCAUAUAGGUGCCAGGUAUGACGCACACCUUUUAGAUUUCUGAUAUUUAUUCAAAUAAGUCAUACCUGACACCUAGUCGGAACAGUUUACAGUUGGAUGUGUGACUACAUCAUUCCCUUCA